This 253-nucleotide ribosomal RNA is filed under the name uncultured bacterium. RNAcentral describes it as "partial 16S ribosomal RNA". It matches the Rfam family "Bacterial small subunit ribosomal RNA", at positions 524 to 776 of the family's 1533-position model. The record is from RNAcentral.
GACAGAGGGUGCAAACGUUGUUCGGAAUUACUGGGCGUAAAGGGCGCGUAGGCGGCUAGAUGUGUCAAAGGUGAAAUCCCUCGGCUCAACUGAGGAACUGCCUUUGAAACUGUCUGGCUUGAGGCCGGGAGAGGGUAGCGGAAUUCCCAGUGUAGCGGUGAAAUGCGUAGAUAUUGGGAGGAACACCAGUGGCGAAGGCGGCUACCUGGACCGGUUCUGACGCUGAGGCGCGAAAGCGUGGGUAGCAAACAGG